CCUACGGGAGGCAGCAGUGGGGAAUAUUGCGCAAUGGGCGAAAGCCUGACGCAGCGACGCCGCGUGAGGGAUGAAGGUCUUCUGAUCGUAAACCUCUGUCAGCAGGGAAGAACGGUCACUGUGCUAAUCAGCAGUGAAUUGACGGUACCUGCAAAGGAAGCACCGGCUAACUCCGUGCCAGCAGCCGCGGUAAUACGGAGGGUGCGAGCGUUAAUCGGAAUUACUGGGCGUAAAGCGCUCGUAGGCGGUAUGUCAAGUCAAGGGUGAAAUCCCCGCGCUCAACGUGGGAACUGCCUUUGAAACUGGCAAACUGGAGUGUGUGAGAGGAUAGUGGAAUUCCAGGUGUAGGAGUGAAAUGCGUAGAUAUCUGGAGGAACAUCAGUGGCGAAGGCGACUAUCUGGCACAUAACUGACGCUGAGGAGCGAAAGCGUGGGUAGCAAACAGGAUUAGAUACCCGGGUAGUC
RNAcentral lists this ribosomal RNA (465 nucleotides) under uncultured bacterium. RNAcentral describes it as "partial 16S ribosomal RNA". It matches the Rfam family "Bacterial small subunit ribosomal RNA", at positions 338 to 795 of the family's 1533-position model. The record is from RNAcentral.